AGCGAACGCUGGCGGCAGGCCUAACACAUGCAAGUCGAACGAACCUUUCGGGGUUAGUGGCGGACGGGUGAGUAACACGUGGGAACGUGCCUUUAGGUUCGGAAUAACUCAGGGAAACUUGUGCUAAUACCGAAUGUGCCCUUCGGGGGAAAGAUUUAUCGCCUUUAGAUCGGCCCGCGUCUGAUUAGCUAGUUGGUUGAGGUAAUGGCUCACCAAGGCGACGAUCAGUAGCUGGUCUGAGAGGAUGAUCAGCUACAUUGGGACUGAGACACGGCCCAAACUCCUACGGGAGGCAGCAGUGGGGAAUCUUGCGCAAUGGGCGAAAGCCUGACGCAGCCAUGCCGCGUGAAUGAUGAAGGUCUUAGGAUUGUAAAAUUCUUUCACCGGGGACGAUAAUGACGGUACCCGGAGAAGAAGCCCCGGCUAACUUCGUG
This 434-nucleotide ribosomal RNA is filed under the name uncultured bacterium. Its description in RNAcentral is "partial 16S ribosomal RNA". It matches the Rfam family "Bacterial small subunit ribosomal RNA", at positions 29 to 507 of the family's 1533-position model. The record is from RNAcentral.